CACGCCUCAGCCUUCCCGCCCCUCACUGUCCUCCCAGCUGGCCCAGGCAGAGACUAUCAUUUCCCCUUUGCAACUGCAGAGGCUGAAGCUCAGCUGUCUGUUAGUUUCCCAGGCACAUGCUGGUGCCUGGCAGAGCUUACAGAGGAAGCUUGGUCUCACCUGGCCUCCCAUUCUGACUGGUGAGAGGCCAUGGAGAGGGCGCACAGUUACCGCCUUCAGCUGUAGCUUUACUUUUUAGCUUUCACUAAUCACAACCCUCCCUCUCAGAGCAUCUAUUUCAUCCCGUGAGGCAGACAAUUUGUCCACACGUAGUCUCAGGAAGGAUGAGUACAAUACAUAAGAUAUUUACAGACAGGUCGUAGUCAUGUAACUUAUGUUACACUGUCUUGCAAUCUAUUCUAUUAUUGUCUGUUAGUCUCUUUUUUAAAAAAAAACAACCUUAUUUUUAUUAUUUUUAAUUAUGUGUGUGUUGGAGGUGGGUGGGUUAUGUACAUAUGCAUGCAGUGCCCACAGAGGCUAGAGCAGAGUGUCAGAUCUUCUAGAGCUGGAGACACAGGGCUUUGGAGCCAUCCUGUGUGGGUGCUAGGAACUGAACUCUGGUCCUUUUGUUUUGAACUGCUGAGCCAUCUCUCUAGAGCACUGCUUGUUAAUCUCUUACACAAAACUUUAAACUUUGUUGUAGAAUGCAUUUGUAAGAAAAAGUAUACAUAUGGUGUAUGUACGACACAGGGAGAGAGAGACAGAGGCAGAUAGGCAGACAGACACAACCCCAUGCUGCUGGAAUGGUUUCAGGUUGGCAUGCUCUCCUUUAGAAUGUCCCUGGGAGUAGCCGAGGUAAAGCCCAGAUGGGUGGUGUUGGUGUUACUGGCUCUGUCUGGGAGGUCUAAGAUCUCAGAGAAAAAGAAAUAAUUUAGAUGUCUCUAAAACAGGUUCCUAAACCUGGCUGCUCAUCAAAUUCAUCAAGAAAGGCAAAAAGAAACACUUCUAAAAUGCCUACAAACCACAGACCCAUCCGCAGGCCCUUCCUCAGAGCUGUGGAGUCUGCAAAGGGGAAAACACUAUCGGUGUCUUUCCCAGUCACUUCUGGGGGCUUGUGGGCCAGGCCUGGGACAGGGCAGUGCCUCUGUUCUUGGAUGCCUCUGCCCACUCCAGGUAGCGCUGAGGCCUUCUGAAUGGAAAGCUAAGUGCCUGCCAAGCUACGCCAGGCACCCAGCUGUGUGCAGGGCCUCAGUGCCGGCCCUGAGCUUGUUUACUGUGUGCUUACAGUAAUGACUACUUUGUCAAAACACACUCUAGGGAGCUGCUGCCCCAGGCCUCUGUGUCAUCUCUCUUUUAUUGAAGCAUAAAAAAAGCUUGCAUUAUUGUUCUCUGGAUUCUGGUUUUCUCAGGGAUCAAGAAAGCAAGGAGCACUUUGUGCAAACAGCAAAGCCUGCUUUGUUGUCUGAGGCCAGGGAAGUACGGCUGUGAGGAGAAAGCCUUUCACAGACCAUAAAAGAGACACUCCACACACAGCAGGAUGGAGGCGGAGGACUGGAGAAGGGCCUGAAAACCAGCUCAGCCAAGGCUCUGCGUGUUUCUGUAUGAAGGCCAUUUUGCCGGUGUGGGUGGUCCAGUUGGUAAAGUACUUGCCACACAAACCCAAGGACUGGAGUUCAACCCCCGGAGUUCAUGUUACAGAGCUGAAUGUAGUGCAUCUGCUUGUGACCCUAGUCCUGUCACGGAGUCAAGCCAAUCCUAGGACUUGCUGGGCAGCCAGCCUGGUGCACUCAGCACCCUGCAGGCCAAUGAGGCUACAUCGCCCCCAGAUAAGAGCUGCAUGGCUUCUGAAGAACAACACCCAAGGUUGACCUCUGACCUAUGCGUGCAUAUGAACAGACAGGUAGGCAGGCAGGCAAGCAGGCAGACACAUACUAUAUAUAUAUAUAUUUUUUUUUUGAGAGAGGGUCUCAUUGUGUAGCCUAAAACUCAUUGUGAUUGGCCCAGAACUCACAGAGAUUCUCCUGCCUCUGCCUCCUGAGUGCUGAGAAUAAUGGCACCUGGAAAACGUAACUUUUUUUUUUUUUUUAGCAGUAUGUUUAUUAAUCCUUGGGAAUGCCAUACAAAGCCAUUUCAUGAAGGCCAUUUCUAGGGGGUCUGUUUUGUGAACUGCUGUUUCUAGAAAGCAGAGUAAGUUGGUCUCACUUUUGUGUGCCCUUGGGUGGACACUAAGAAAAGGAGCAGUGUGUUUUCUUGUGUGCCACCGGCCCUCUUCACCAGCUACAGGUGGGCACAGCAGCUGCUGUCCUCCUGGUAUUGGCAGGCGAGCAAGGCUCAGAGAGGGCGUUCCUUCCUCAGCCUUCUGAAGUGCCCCUGGUUUGUUCCCACGGCAUCAGAACUUGUUGGGUGUGCAAACCCUUGCCUGUGGGGGCCAUCAUGAACCUGAAGAAGUCUCACAAGUUGGAUUUCCCUCUGCUCUUCUCCCUUCCCUUCCUAUUCCCUUUAAUUUAUCUCUCUUGUCUUCCUUUCUUUCCUCUCUUUCCCCUCCUUCCUACCUUUCUUCCUUCCUUUUAAACUAAGUCUUGAUACAUAGCCCAGGCUGGCCUGGCACUUUUUGUAUAGGCUGGAGAGGUCUUGAACUCAUGCCAAUCAUCCUAAUUCAGCCUCUAGCAUGCUGGCACUACAGGGCUGUGCAGCCCUGCCCAAAUGCAUGUAGAAUUUCUUCAGGUGGAGCACAGAGGUACUGAAUUCUCUGUGCUCUCCACAUGUGUAUCUAUGCCUCUGCAUCUGUAAGUAGUUUAAGUAUUAUUGUGUGUGUGUAUGUAUGAUGUGUAUGUUUGAGUAUAGGUGCUUUUCCCAACUGAGCCACCUCUCCAGUCCCAACCAAUGCUCUCAAGUUUGAUAGACAGGCUCUUAGCACUGUGAGCAUCACCUGAAGGGAUCAGAAAAGUGGCAGGGUAGAAUCCUGACUCCCCAGACCUGGGGUGAAGAUAGGCAAUUUACAUGCUAAUCAAUUUCUAAACUUCUGGAAAGGUCAGGCUGCAGCUGGAGCAGAGAAUCUCACUGUGAGAACCAGUCUGUGUAUACUCUACCUUUCUCUCCGUGUAUGUAUUAAAAAUAUUUAUUUAUUAUCAUUGUGGUGUGUGUGUGUGAGUGUGUGUGUGCGGGCAUUGCCACAGUGUGGAUAACGUUGCGGCGUGAGUUGUCUCCGUCCACCUUUGUGUGGGUUUCAGGAAUUGAAGUCAGGUCAUCAGGCUUUCGAUACAGCUGGCUAGUUGGCCUCUAGACAUCAGUUUUAUGUUGAUAUCCUACAUUAGAUCCUCAGGAGGGGUAGCCAUUAUUCUUUUUUGAUGGGUGCAUAGAAAUCCAUUGACUGUUGGAGCUGGGUAUGGUGGCAUACAUCUAUAAUUCUAGUGUUCAAAAGAAGCAGAAGCAUCAUGACUUUAAGGCUACCUUUGCUACCUACCUAUGGAGUUCCAGGCCAAUGUGGGCUAUAUUAUGAGAUUCUUUCUCAAAAACAAACAAAUAAACAAACAGCAAAGCAAACAAGACACAAACAAACAAACAAACAAAAAAGCCAGAACAACAACAAAAGCCACAUCAUUUAACCCUCUCUGCUGGGAAAUAGAGAUUGUUUCUGCUUUCCUCACUGCAAUGCUGUAACAUCCUUCCGGUACUUACGCUAAUACUUCUGCUUUUAAAAUAGAUUUAUUUGUUUUUCUUUUAUGUGUAUGAGUAUUGGACUGCAUGGAUGUCUGGGCACCAAAUGCAUGUACGGUGCCUUCACAGGACCGAAGAGGGUGUCAGAUUCCCUGGAGUUGAAGUUGUGAACCACCAUGUGGGUGCCGGGAACAGAACCUGGGUCCUCUGUAAGAGGAGUAAGUGCUCUUCCCCAUGGAGCCAUUUCUGCAGCCUCCUAAUACUUCAAAAGAGCCAACUGAGAAGUGGGAGAGGUUUAUUCCAUUCCCAUAUUUAUUCUACCAAUGGAGUUUGGAAAACAUCCUACCAAACACCGGCUAUUGAGAAUCUUUCCUCUCUGAAACCCGGCAGGGGCCAGAGCAGCAGAAAAAACUACAUUGUUGGGCAUGGCUUGGGUCCUGGAUACCCACAGAAGUAUCUGGAGAAGCCACAUAAAGGAGGAAAACAGCUGGUUCUAGAAAAACAAAAGGAUUCAAUAUUGUUCAGAAAACAGAACAAGGGUAAGGGAGGCCUGAGUUUCUGAAUGCCAAGGGUCUGUUUGUUUCUGAAUUUACAGCAGAUACCCAGGCUGGGCGAUUCGAAACUGUAGACGUGUAAGGCUCAGAGUUCUGGAGGCCGGGAAGUACCAGAAAGUUUGGUGGGAGGGAGUGGCUAGGCUCCGCUUUCAAGAUGGCGCCCUGCAUACUGUCUUCCAUGGCAGGAGAGAAGGUGGGAGGAGAGAAAGCAAGAGAGAAGAGAGGAGAGGAGAGAAGAAAGAGGAUGAGAGAGAGAGAGAGAGAGAGAGAGAGAGAGAGAGAGAGCACAAGCAGAGGGGAGGGAGGUGCAGGUGCUUAGCUGUAAGGGUGAGGAUGGCUGAGAGUGAAACUCUCAUCAAAACUCAACAUCAAAGGAAUUACAGUCCCAAGCGAGCUUAGUUUUAAUGUAUGCUCCUGUGUGUGUGUGUGUAUGUGUGUGUGUGUGUAUGUGUGUGUGUGUGUGUAUGUGUGUGUGUACAUGUGUGUAUGCUUGUGUCUGGAACUGGUUGGCCAAUGAGCUCCGUGGAUCUGCUUAUCUCUUUCCCUAGUGCUGGGAUUACAACCAUCACACCAUGCACAGCUUUUGAAAUUAUAUAUUUGCAGUUGGAGAGAUGGCUCAAUGAUUAGUGCAAUGACUAACCUUCCAGAGUACAUACAUUCAAUUCUCUGCACCCACAUGACAGCCCACAUCUAUAACUCCAGUUCCAAGGGCUCCUCUGUGUGCAUCAGAUACACAUGUGAUGCACAAACAUACAUGUGGGCAAGACAUUCCUACACAUAGAGUUAAAUAAUUCUCAAAGAAUAAGUGAAUAGAAUUAAACACACUCAGGAAAAAUAUAAACAAAAGGUUUCUUUAUGAAAAUUAUGUAUGUUUUAUUCAUUUCUGGAAAUUUAAUACACACAUAUAUGUAUUAUUUUGAUCAUAUCCAAUCCCCACUUCUGCCUUACCCAACUGCUAGGAUCUCCCAAAAUAUUUACCUGCCAACUUCUUGUCCUUUCUUUAAAAAACAAAAACAAAACACCAGUGAGUCCAGUUGGUGCUUCUUAUGUGUGCCCGGGUGUGAGGCCAGUUACUGGGGCAUGGCAACCUGCCACUGGCCACAUCCCCGAAGAGCAGUGGUUACCCUCCUCCUCAGCCGUCAGCAGCUCCUCAUCUGGGAUGCCCCUACGGUACCUCCCUAUCUGUGCUGGAACUUUAGCUAGCUUAAUUUUGUGCAAGUAACCACCAAUUCUGAGAGUUCAUGUGAGCGACACCAUGCCUCGUUUCACCACACAGCAACCUACAGCCUCCCUCCCCACCCCAGCUCUUGCACCCUUUCCCCCUCCUCUUCCCUCGAUGUUCCCUGAGCUGUGGUUGGGUGUCCCAGCUAUGGCUGAGCACUCACAGAGUUUUCAGCACUUUGGCCAGUUGUGAGCCUCUGCAUUAACCAUUAUCUGCUGCAAUAAGAAGCUUCUCGGAUCCCGGAUCCCGGUUGAGAGCCGCACAAUCAGACCGCAGUUCGACAAUGUGACUGUUUCGUGAAACGACUACAGUGAGUUCCCCCAAGGCAUGUGAUCCCCACAGCCAUUGGUUUUUAACCAGCUUUAUUGCGCCAUGCGUGAAGUCCCUUCUGUGGAGGAAACCUCCAGUCCAGCUAGAAAGCAGGUGGUUGCUACAGUAACGGUCGUGCCAGCAUUGCACCAGUGAGCACAGCUUGCCUGGUCGGGCUGUAUUGUGGCAUGCAGGACCCAGGGUUGGAAAGAGCAUUGGUGUUCUAGUUUGCUUUACGUUGCCAUGAUAGACACUAUGACCAAAGGCAACCUGGAGGAGGAAGGGGGUUAUUUCGUCUUACAGCUUGUAGUCUGUUAUGAAGGGACUCAAGACAGGAACUAAAGCAGAGUUCGUGGGGGUAAGGAGAGGUUGCUUAAUGGAUUAUGCUCCACGAUCAAUUCAUUUUGCUCUUUUAAUAUUUCCUUCAAAACCACCUACCCAGGGGUUGUAUCUUCCUCAUCAAACAUUAGAGAAAAUGCCGCACAGGCUUGUCUACAGGCCAAUCUGGUUGGGGCACUUACUCCUUUGCUCGGGUGAGGUACCUUCUUUCUAGAUGAUCCUCGCUGGUGUCAAGUUGACAAGAUGUAGCUGGUGUGGCUGACUGUAGGGAGAAAAGCACUGUCUCUCAAAGGAACAUUCUGCUAAAGUUCUGAUUCCAACCAGUCUGGAGUGAGCAGCUUCCUUCCCUCACCAACAAGCCAAAAAGGUGGAUGGUGCCUGAGGUUGACCUCUGGCCUCCACCAACACACACACACACACACACACACACACACACACACACACACACACACACACACAGAUCUCUCUUCACCUUGCACUGUAAUGUUCUGAACAGACCCUCCUUGCUUCUCCAGCGGCUUGAGGUCCAGUGCUGUGGGAAUGCUCCUUUAGCGAGCUUUGUCUCUGCAUGGAUACUGACUCUGAGGAGGGCAGCUGCAAGGCCCCUUCUGUCCACAGGGUUUGGUCAAGUGUUUUACCGGCAACAGUUUCCAGGGACAGGACAGGGGCCCAUCUCAGCUCCCAUGGUGUGCGCUCUGCAACCCUGCUCUCACAACUAUCCGACUCUGGCCUCAUUACUGGGCUAGUUUUUCUACUUCCUAGAAAGUAUAUUCUACCCAACAGAGAGAGCAAUGCAGUCAGAGGAAUAUCUAGCCAAACCCAGCUCCAGGGUCAGAGCCACAGAACUAACUGUCAGCUCCCCCAGGCUGUCCACACAUCUGCAUGGACUGGCCUUAGCAAGUCUCUGAAACCCAUCUAUUGUCCUUCCUGCUUUCCUUGCCUCUUUUUUUUGUUGCCUCUCUUCGGCUUAUGCCUGUCUUCAUUCAUUCCUUCAUUCCUUCAUUGAUCCACUCAUCUCUUUUGGGGGCAUUUACUUUACCUUUGUGCCAAACAUACUGAAAAAAAAAAGCAUAAGACAAUGAGACCGCUUGGUUCUGGGGGAAACUGGGACUUCUCCACGUUGAGGUGGAUGAAGCUGAGGCACAUGCACAGGGACUUCUCCACUCUCAUCUGUCCUGAAGUGCCUGCACUCUUUCUUGCUACUCUGGUGCCAUUUAUUCACGUCUUCACAUGUGUGUGGCCACGGCCUUCUGCUCUCGGUGCACAGAGCACAUCCUCCUGAUUUGAACGAAUCAAGGCCAGAGCGAUUGGCUGAGGCUACAGGGGCCUGAAGGGAAGGUGUCUUGGACAAUGGAGGAAGGUCCUGGAAAGGUUUCUUUUCUCCCCCUGUGGGAGACACAUGGAGAAGAGAGCCUUUCUCACAGAUGCUGCACGUGAGCCAGUGGCCUCUGAGAUGAAGAGAUGGGGGCAGAUAUCAAAACUCUAAGUACGCAGGGCAGAGUUGGAAGACAUUUGCGUUUUUGAAGGUGCCGUCAGUCAAGUCCAUGAAUAGAGCACCUCUGGACAGCACCUGCCUUCUAACUCAUAUGCAUGUGGAUGUCUCGACUUGCCUUUAAUUUGGAAAAUGGUUCUCAACUGGAAAAGGUAAGCCCUCAGCUCAGCCUCCAGAUUAGGAAGAUGACAGGUGAUGGGGAAGGCAGCGAGCUGGCCCUGUGCCCAGUCUGGAGGGAAUGGCUGCAGACUGAUGGCUGUGCGCAGAGCUCUUGGAGGACAAUGAUGUGGCAGGCUUGGCCAUGCUACCACAGAAGCCUGAAAUCUGGCUAAAAACAGCUAUUUUAUAGCUGAGCUGGCACAUAGCUUGUUAUCUUAGCGCUUGGGAGGUAGAGGCAGGAGGAUCAGAAGUUCAAGGUCACUUUUGGCUGCAUAGUGAGUUUGAGGCCAAACCUGAGCUACUUAAGACCCUGUCUCAAAAAAAAAAAAAAAAAAAAAAAAAAAAAAAGCAAACAAAAAACAAGGGGACUGGAGAGAUGCUCUUGCAGAGGACCAAGCACACACACACAGAGCCUCAUACUCCUCUAACUAGCAGAGUUUUCAAAGCCAGUGCCGAGCUCUGUGAGGCCUUCAGUAGCCCCACUCACUCUGGUGUGCCUUCAGGGCAGGCUCCUAGGGGCCGGCCGGAAGGGGAGUCCUGAGGAGCGCUUGGGGAACAUCCUGGGAAGAAGGCUGUCACACAGCCUUCUGAGAUCAUGCUUGCGUGUGUCACACCUUGCUGCCCGCUGGCACAAUCACUGCCAGCUUUGUAUGCACCCGGGUGUCUCUUAGGGCAUUCCUACCCCUUGUGCAAUGACUGCCAUGUGGCUUGGCACAGAUCUGAGUACACAUCCCAGGCAGGUGGCGUGGUGACACCUGGCUGGCUCAGCUCUCCCUCGGCUCCCCUUGUCUCCACUGUACUUCCUUCACAGACACUUGUGGUCUAGUGGGAACUAGCCUGUGAGCUCAUUCACAGCUCUUGCUCUGUGUGUAUAUAACACAGCUCCCAGGGAUCAAUACAGCUGAGAGCAGCAAAACAGACACAAUACAGACUACGUCACUAACCGUACUGAGGGUGAGCACUGUUUACUGAGCCUUUGCCAUGUGACAAUUUGUGUAAGCCCAUCAAAACCUUCCCAGUUAGAUACCACCGAUAUGUUCACUUUACUACAAGGAAAUUGAGGCCGGAGAAGUUAAUUCACCUACCCAGGAUGCACAGUGUACAGGUGGGGUUCACUCGGAAGCUCGUGCAUUUGGCCAAGAUAUAUAUACUGUGUCUUUGGUAUCUGCGUCACUGUGGUUCAAAGAAGUCUCCUUCACCCCUGCGCUUUGCUUACACUUAAGUUUAAAAAUCUAAAUCUUUACCUGGAUCUUUAAAAUCACCAUUUCGAAAGAGUUUGAACUGUAGUCUCCUGCACCCCUGCCAGCUUUAGGACAUCUUUUGUUUCAUGUUUAGAAUUAAUGCAUUUAAAAAAAUAACGGUAUUUAUUUAUUUUUGUGUAUGUAUGUGCACGUGUGCCUCUGUGUGUGCAUGUGUUUGCCUAUUUUAUGAAUGUACCUCUGUGUGAAUGUGCCUGUGGGUGUCUCUGUGUGUGUCUGUUUGUGUGCCUGUGUCUACAUGUGUGUCUCUGUGUGUGCCUCUGUAUGUUUAUGUCUGUGUGUACAUGUGUGCCUGUGUGUACAUAUGUGCCUCAGUGUGUAUUUGCCUGUGUGAGCACACAGGAGUCAGGAAGCAGAGGGUGGUGAACACUGGUGCUCAGGUCUCUCUCUCUCUUUUUCAUUUGGUCUAGGAGGUCAGCCAAAGGAUGCUGCCACCCUCAAUCAAGGCGGGCCUUCCCUCUUCAGCUUAGCCUCUCUGCAAACACCAUCACUGACACACCCGGUGUGUGUCUCCCGGUGAUUCUAAAUGUAGUCAAGCUGACAGUGAGAGCUAAAAUUGUUUUCUAAUGCUGUUUCUUUUAAGACUCUCCGUGCUUGGGUCUGCAAUGGUUGUCUCCAUUUACACCCCACCAGCUCUCUUCCAGUCCCCCGCUAUCCACAUGGCUGUCUCUUGCCAGCAUGUUCUUGUGUGUGUGUUUUCUUUUCCAUGUUUGCCAUUCUGAUGGGUGGGAUGUAGCUCACUGUGGUUGUGACUUGUGCAGUUCCCCAACAGUGAUGGUGAGCAUUUUCUCACAGCUUUUCUUGUUGUUUAAGUGUAUCUUCUUCUUUUUUAAAUAUUUAUUUA
Long non-coding RNA from Meriones unguiculatus (Mongolian gerbil), 9814 nucleotides. RefSeq lists it as uncharacterized. Lineage: Eukaryota; Metazoa; Chordata; Mammalia; Rodentia; Muridae. The record is from RefSeq and is a predicted model, not a curated record. The transcript has 3 exons.